GAUGAACGCUGGCGGCGUGCCUAAUACAUGCAAGUCGAGCGAACGGACGAGAAGCUUGCUUCUCUGAUGUUAGCGGCGGACGGGUGAGUAACACGUGGAUAACCUACCUAUAAGACUGGGAUAACUUCGGGAAACCGGAGCUAAUACCGGAUGAUAUUUUGAACCGCAUGGUUCAAAAGUGAAAGACGGUCUUGCUGUCACUUAUAGAUGGAUCCGCGCUGCAUUAGCUAGUUGGUAAGGUAACGGCUUACCAAGGCAACGAUGCAUAGCCGACCUGAGAGGGUGAUCGGCCACACUGGAACUGAGACACGGUCCAGACUCCUACGGGAGGCAGCAGUCGGGAAUCUUCCGCAAUGGGCGAAAGCCUGACGGAGCAACGCCGCGUGAGUGAUGAAGGUCUUCGGAUCGUAAAACUCUGUUAUUAGGGAAGAACAUAUGUGUAAGUAACUGUGCACAUCUUGACGGUACCUAAUCAGAAAGCCACGGCUAACUACGUG
RNAcentral lists this ribosomal RNA (497 nucleotides) under uncultured bacterium. Its description in RNAcentral is "partial 16S ribosomal RNA". It matches the Rfam family "Bacterial small subunit ribosomal RNA", at positions 28 to 507 of the family's 1533-position model. The record is from RNAcentral.